Molecule: long non-coding RNA, 542 nt
Filed under: Monodelphis domestica (gray short-tailed opossum)
Lineage: Eukaryota; Metazoa; Chordata; Mammalia; Didelphimorphia; Didelphidae
Description: lncRNA (ENSMODG00000042021.1)
Source: RNAcentral
UAGUUAAGAAGAUUUGCAUGUUGGGAAGGCAGUUACAGAACUCUUGGCCUGUCUCUUGAACAGGUUGUUGGAGAUUUUUCUCAGAGACAGUUAGUGAUUUCUGUGAGAGUUAACCUGGAGAAGUUGGUUGAACAUCUGUGAGGCUGAAGAAAGUUGUUUGGGAUGGAGAGCUUUCUCCCAGAGAGAGAAAAGAUCUGUGUUGGCAAACUUAUGGAAUACCUGCCAGAGAGGACUGCUCCCCUUCCCUUCUCCAUGCACACCUCAGGAUAUUUCUCACAUCAUCCAAACCUCUGCCAAGCAGUCCAAUGGGAGUGCUAUCCCCCUUCCCCAACUGAAGUAAGGUGGGUUGCUCACAUACUAUGUGAGGGUUGCGGUUUGGGCACUUGAUCUCUAAAAGUUUCACCAUCAGUGACCUAGAUGACAGAUACGAGUGAUGACUUCUAUUCAAUCUGAAGCUUUCUGGACCAAUGCCUCUGGGUUGACUCUCACAAAACAGUAUUUUCACAAAACAAUUCACAAAACAAUUUUCUUAUAUUUAACAU